UAGUUGGUGAAAGUCCAAUCCGAGUAAUAACUCAGUAGCUCGGUAGUUGACAGACUUGGUAGGGAGAAAUUCCUAUUUUGUAACUGUGACAAAGUCACCAAAGUGUGGCGAUUAAAACUACAGAUCCGCAGGA
Molecule: non-coding RNA, 133 nt
Organism: Acetohalobium arabaticum DSM 5501
Lineage: Bacteria; Bacillati; Bacillota; Clostridia; Halanaerobiales; Halobacteroidaceae
Source: Rfam